GCAAAUCGAGGGAGCACAAUGGAGUCCGGCAGGGUGGGUGGACUUUUAGAGUGCGUGGCCGGAAGAGAGAGGCCUUGGGUGAAGUGUUGCCUUGCUGUGGAGAGCUCUUAGAGGACAAAUAAAAGGAACACACUCUAGGCAGAAGGAACAGCCCCUGAGAAGAACCUGAGCCCAGCAAGAGCUUGGCGUAAUCUGAGGAGCAGAGGGGGCCCCGUAGGACCGUGCACGGAGGGAUGAAGAUGCAGGGAUGCCAAGCGAGUCUGCUAAGAAUCCUGCUUCAUCUAGACCGUGCCGCACCUUUGGGAACAAGGCAAGGAUCUCCGGGUUUAUCUUCAAGAUAAGAAGCGCCAUCAGAGUUGGCUCUUUGCUUCUUGGUUUGGAGGCUGUAUGGAAUCUAGGAAGAGUGUAGAAACGAACGAGUAGAGCAAGAGGGAGAUUCUCCUAGAAAGAGCCGCUUCAUCUGUUAAGGAGGAACUAUGAAACCUCUUACAGCAGGCUGCGACCUCCCUGUCCAUCCUGUGUAAAAUAUGAAAUAAGAGUUUUAAUUACCGAGCUUGGAAGGCUGCCGACAUGUUUAAUAUUUAAUGUCUCCAAUGCCUGUGCCCCAGGCGUGCCGGCACUGACACAAUUGGGGUUUCCCUUGGGUUGGUUCUGAAUGUACUUGGACAACAGCCAGGCAGCCGCCUUCCCCAACACCUGGGAGCCUCCUGUAGCCCAGCCUGGGCCCAGGCCUGCCCUGAGCCUCCCACCCCCUGAGGGACUCCUGACGAGAAGGCCCAGUGAGGCCUGUUCUUCCACCUCAGGGUGGACAUCAGGUCCUGGAGGCCCUGCGAACUAGCUAGUUAGUACUGGACCCAGCUCAGGGUCCUGGCAGAGAAACGAGAGUCAGUAGAAGAUGGGAGCCCAGGAGGGGGCCGGGGCAGAUGAGCUUGAGUUUGAGGUCUGCUUUUCUGCAAGCCAUUUAGCCCUUUCUCUGGGUGUCACUUUUAUUAUUCAUAAAGCGGAGAGUGUAUUUCCUGCGUUCCGGGUUGUUAAUGUGUCGCUAUUUUUGAGGUUUAGCAUGUGCCAGAGCCCCGCUAAGCACUUCGCAUGUACCGUGUCUUCCUCAAUACAACGACCCUUUGAAGUGGCUAAGCUGGAACUUGGGAACGAGGCCUCCUGAUUCCAGAGCUUGCGACUCCAAGGGCUUUGUGUGGAAGAGCCUUGCGUGUUUGGAGAAAUGUGAACCACCCAGUUCCAGUCCCUGUGCAGUGGCGCCUUCCGUUUGCUAGGCAGUGGGGACUCAGGGCAGCACCUCGUACUGCGACUGUGUGCCUCACAUCUCAUUCCUGCACAGAGGUGGGGGGCACCCAAGCUGUGUCUGAUUAGUUGAUUGGCACUGUCAAAAUAGUUGAAUCCCCCAGGCAUGGUGGCGCAUGCCUUUAAUCUCAACACUUGAGAAGCAAAGGGAGGUGGAUUUCUAGUUUCAGGCCAGCCUGGUCUACACAGGAAGGCCCUUUUGUUUUGCUUUGUUUAAUUUUUGUUGUUGUUUAAGACAGGGUUUCUCUGUGUAGCCCAGGCUGCCCUGGAACUAGCUUUGUAGACCAGGAUGGCCUCAAAGUCACAGAGAUCUGCCUGCCUCUGACUCUGGAAUGCAGGGACUAAAAGUACAUGCCACCGUCAAUCGAUGGCCCUGACUUAAAAGAAAAAAAAAUAAAAGCAGAAUUCUUGGA
RNAcentral lists this small RNA (1712 nucleotides) under Rattus norvegicus (Norway rat). Its description in RNAcentral is "uncharacterized LOC102550017". Lineage: Eukaryota; Metazoa; Chordata; Mammalia; Rodentia; Muridae. The record is from RNAcentral.